GUUGUUGUUGUUGUUGUUGCUAUUUCUUGGGCCGCUCCCGCAGCAUAUGGAGGUUCCCAGGCUAGGGGUCAAAUCGGAGCUGUAACCACCGGCCUACGCCAGAGCCACAGCAACGCGGGAUCCGAGCCACGUCUGCAACCUACACCACAGCUCACGGCAACGCCGGAUCGUUAACCCACUGAGCAAGGGCAGGGACCGAACCCGCAACCUCAUGGUUCCUAGUCGGAUUCGUUAACCACUGCGCCACGACGGGAACUCCUCUAUUUAUUGAUUUUGCUUUUUAUGGCUACACCUGUGGCAUACGGAUGUUUCUAGGCUAGGGGUUGAAUCCGAGCUGCAGCUGCUGGCCUACACCACAGACACAGCAACGUGGGAUCCGAGCUGCGUCACUACAGCUCCCAAUAAUGCCAGCUCCUUAACUCUUAAAACUGAGGGAGAUCCUCAUGGAUACUAGUUGGAUUCAGUUACCACUGAGGCACAAGGGAACUCCAAGAAGGCAUUUUAAGGGGCCUCCCCCAAGUACCUACAGACAUGAAAUUUAGUUCAUUCUGGAAGCGAGUCCUUACUCCCUGGGCUCAAAUACAGACAAUGAGGCUGGAUCCUUUGGUACUUAGUGUACGUGCGAGUGCAGAUCCUUUGGGAAGCUGAUGCCAGGGUGGGAUUAACAGCAAUGAUUCUACCAGGAACCAUACCGGUGGGGGAAAUGGGGAGGGAGCUGUGGAAAUUCAGAGACGUUCCUGGACCUUGAUGCAGAGCUGAUGCCAAGUCGGAGAGAGAGGAGGGCACGAUUGGAUGGAAGCCUCCAUCCCAGAUGGCAGUGCCUGGUGCUGCGGGAGGAAGGUUCUGCUGGACCAUCUGGAAGUCCUGAAGCCAAGUCAGAUGUCAGGAUGUCCAGUGGCUCCUGGGAAUGGCUGUCUUUAUUGACCCUGCUGCUCUCAGUCUUUGGCUGAGAAUCAUGGCUUCAGGGCAAAGGCAGGCAUAGAUUUGGGGCCCAGGAGCCAGAAUUAAACCCUCUGUGACUGGAAAUCUGUGAGAUACAUUCUCAUGGUCCAUGGUAGGUACCAUCGCUCUGUCCCAACAUAUAAUAUCAACAAUUCCUCAUUGUAGUUUUGGCAGGCAGGGUCAUCUUACAAAUAUAUAGAUCUUAAGGUUCCCAAAGGAGACACAUUUCUCAGGAACAUCAGUUCUAUUUAAAUACACACUCGGUGUUUCUGGCGUGGCUCAGUGGAUACAAACCCCACUAGGAUCCAUGAGGAUGGGGGUUUAAUCCCAGGCCUCGCUCAGUGGGUUAAGCAUCUGGUGUUGCUGUGAGCUGUGGUGGAGGCCAGCAGCUGCAGCCCUGAUUCAACGCCUAGCCCAGGAACUUUUGUAUGCUGCAGGUGCAGGCCUAAAAAGAAAAUAAAUACAUACAUACAUACACACUCUAAUCUCAUUAUUUUAACUACUGUAUCUGAACCUGGUCCUUGGAAUGUCUCUAAUUUACCUUCUUUGGAGUAGUUUAUGCCUUCUGAUGCCAAUCUUUUUUUAAGUCCAAGGCUGCCUUCUUCAAUUUGUCUAAUAAGCAUCUCACAUCUUUUCUCAGCCGUGAUUAAGUACUUCCCAGGCUUCUCACAGCAAUCAGCCACGAUUUCUCAUAGAACCAUAAAUAUUUGCCCAUAGGCCAAAUGGGAAAGAGAGGCAGGAAUAACUCUUUGAAAUAAAUGACCAGGAACCCUCAAGUUCUUCACCUAGAAAAUGGGGGAAAUAAUAGCUACCUUAUGAUAAAAAGGGAAGGAUUAGCUUUGUCAGAAUGAGAUAGCAAACCACGCCAGCUACUUUCAUCAAAAGGGGUUUAAUACGGGAGGCAACAUGCUUUCAGAAUCACUGGUAGGACCUUCACAACAACACACCAAAGAGUUGCUAACUGCCACAAGCAGGAAGCUGGAGAAUUAGGAAGCCAAGGACCUAAUGGGUACAUUCCAGAUCACAUCGCCUGGCCUGCAGUCUUUGGACAGAUGAGAAAGCCCAUGCGGGGGUGCUAGCUCCAGGUUCCCCAAGGCUUGCAGAAUCACAGCAGCCAAAUGGAUGCCUCUUGCCUGGCUGUGCUCCUUCCUCUAAACUCUACUCUCAAGUCUCAUCCUGUACAGGCAACUAUUAAUGUUUAUAAGGCAACUACAAUUUAUUUGAGGCGUCACUUUAAUGCUUUUGCUUUUUCAAAAGCAUUCUAGGAAAUUUCUAGAUACUUAAUGAAUGACCUUUGAGAAUUCAACAUUAUACUAUUAAGAUACCUCCAUCUGGGGGUUUUCAACCCUGGCAUAUUACUUUUUAAGUUUUAAUUUUGAAGCAUUAUGAAUAGAGAAGGCACAGAACAGCUCAAAGAAAAACACAUGUUUGGGGCUUUUAAAUCUGAAUCUAUUAUUAAAAUAAUUAUAUUGAAAUUUAAAACUUCAAAGAAUUUAAAAUUUUAAAGAAGAAAGAGUUCCCAUUGUGGCUCAGUGCUAACAAAUCCGGCUUGUAUCCAUGAAGAUGUGGGGUCGAUCCCUGGCCUCACUCAGUGGGUUAAGGAUCCGGCGUUGCCACAAGCUGUGGUGUAGGUCUCAGAUGCGAUGCAGAUCCCGUGUUGCUGUGGCUAUGGCUCGACUGCAGCUCCGAUUCAACCCUUAGACAAGAAGCUUCCAGAUGCAGCAGGUGCAGCCCUUUAAAAAUAAAUAUAAAUAAAGACGUUAAAGAAGGAAUUUAAGAUUUUAAAGAGUAACGUUCCCUACUUAGCCUUUUGAUUGAAACCAUUAUAUGUAUUUAAAAUUAUGUUACAUUUCUUUAUCAAAUUUUUUUCCGCGCUUAUAUAAUCAGUUUCAGGGAAGAAUUUUCCAUUUGUACCAGAUUUAAGCAAGAAUGUUAUUGUUAAAGCAAACUGCUAUUUAUAAAAAUAGUAUUGUUCCAUUGAUACAUCAUCUUUGGAAGACUUGCAUCAUUUGUUUCCAAGCAGUGGAGAGUAAUUUCUUCAAGACUGAGAGUACUGGUCACGACAUGCUGAGUUUCCAUGUGGAAAUCCUUGGAAGGAUUCAGACACACACGCACACACAAGCUUCUCUUUGGACAGUGGGGAAAAAACAAUUCAGGCGCUCAGGGCUCAGAGGGGAGACUGGGUUUGAGCAAACCAAGCCUUCCACACGAGCCAGUCAACAUGUCCUGUGUGGCAGGUUGAAAAGAGAACUUUGGGCAUCUUCCUGGCUCCCAGUUUACCUGAGUGGAACCACAGGUUCAGCCCCUCAAGGGGCCUCUGCAUCCGGGUAGGAGACCCCAUGUGGAGUGUGGGCCUGUCCUCUCUUGUGCCUGUGCACCUGCUGUGGUGGCUGCGGUGGGUGGCAAUGAAGGAGGGUUUUAGGGUCAGUGACCCGGGGAGCCUGAGCUCACAGGGCCAGGCAUGCAGACGUCAUGCGGCAGGGCCAAGGGCUCCCAGAGGUUUUCUGAGCGGGAGGGUAACAUCUUAAAAUCUGCGUUGGAGAAAGGCCAUCUGGUGAGCCUCCUAGAGAGAAGGCUGGGAGUGAUGAGGGACGGGACUCGGAGAAGAGACCCUGUCAGAGGCAUUGUCUGGUCUGGGGAGCAACCGCCAGGGUAACUGGCGACUCAUGGAAGGUUCCAAGGACAACUCUGGGGUCCCCAUCUGGGCUGAAGACAGGACUGUGGUUAGAGGAGCAGCUGGCCUGUGUGUGGGCAGAAGGUUACCUGUUCAGUGGGAUUCUAGGUGGGCACACCCUGUGAGGGCGUGAGCUUUGGGAUUUGGAGCACAAGUCUCCCAGUGUGUGACAAGUCACCCAAAUGCUGGCCUGCUGUCCCAGGGAAGAUGGCCGGAUGCUCCCUGCACUCUGUCUGGCCUCAGAGAAGGUCUGGUCCUGUACCCACCUCCACGUCUCCAUCAGAGACAGGACCCUCCCCUUUGCAGCCCUCCAGCUUCGUUAUUCUCCUGACCUCAGAGCCUACGGCAGAUAAAAUGGACAAGCCAGGAGGUGAAGGUGGCUGAUUGAUCUGUUUGGGGUUUCCCUUCUUUCCCCAAUCACACGGGACAUGACUGUUAACGUGACAGGACAUCACACCCUUGUUGACAGCUGCAGAGCAGCCGAGGGAAGAGGAGUGCCCUCAGCCAUCCGCCCACUGGUCUCAGGGGGUGCAUGGGUCUCGCGUUACUCAUCCAGGCCACCAGGGCCGACUACUGUGCCUGUGGCUCUCCUAGGCUACCUUCACCAUUAAACAAAAAGUACUGGAUCAGUGAGUACCGAGAUCGGAACCAGCCCUCCUGCUGCCGUCUGCCUUGCUGACACAGGGGAGUGGUGAGUUCUGUAGAGAAAUGACUCAUUCACACAUGACUUACUCUAAGCUGCAAGGACACAGUUUAUUAACGUGCCUCCAGCCCUCAUACCAGCCAGAAGUGUCUCCAGCGAACCUGCCUUCAAGGGGCCACUCUGAACAGAGAGCAAUGCCAAAAGCAGGUUUCAUAAUGUCCCAUCUGGUGGCUCCUGGGUCUGGGAGCGUUGUGGCAAUGAGGUCAGGAACAUAAGUUUUUCUUUUUGGUAUUGCCUGUAAUUUAUUGAAUACUCACUGAAAGUGAAAAACAGAAUGGUUGUCUGGGUACAGGAUUUUGUUGUUGUUGUUGUUGUUUUUGAUUCAUUAAAGUAGUUGAUUUACAAUAUUGUGCCAAUUUCUGCUGUACAGCAAAGUGACUCAGUCUCACACACACACACACACACACACACACACACAUCUAUCUAUAAAUAUAUAUAUUCUUUUUUUAAAAUAUUCUUUUCCAUCAUGCUCUAUCCUAGGAGAUGGGACAUAAUUCCCUGUGCUGUAGAGUAGGACUUUAUUGUUUAUCCAUUCUAAAUGUAAUAGUUUGCAUUUAUUAAUCCCACACUCCCAGCUGUGGAACCAGUGCAGUCAGCACAACCAGUUUGGGCUGCAUGGAAGACAGAGCUAAGGGCCAAGGGAAGGAUCCCACAGGAAGCAGGAGCUCCUCCCAGCACUGCUGAAUUCUGAGCUGCUUCCGCCAGUGCUGGGAUUCAGCUCCAAGGAGUGAGUUCUUCAUUCAACUUUAUGUAAAAGCACAAUCCCUGUAGCCAGAGCCCAGAGCAGCUAUCACAUCACCGUCAACUGUAGAGAGCAGCUUUUGGUCAGGGCGACUCUCCCCUUCGACACUCCCAACCUCCGUUUGGUUUGACAGCAGGCUUAAAUGUCAGAGCGAAACAGGAGAGUGGAAGAUGGAAUCAGAAUGGCUCAGAGGGGGCAAAGCAAUAUCA
Molecule: long non-coding RNA, 5270 nt
Filed under: Sus scrofa (pig)
Lineage: Eukaryota; Metazoa; Chordata; Mammalia; Artiodactyla; Suidae
Description: lncRNA (ENSSSCG00050020790.1, ENSSSCG00065070300.1)
Source: RNAcentral